RNAcentral lists this small nuclear RNA (99 nucleotides) under Ochotona princeps (American pika). Lineage: Eukaryota; Metazoa; Chordata; Mammalia; Lagomorpha; Ochotonidae. The record is from RNAcentral.
GUUUUAGUUUUGACAGCACAUAUACUAAAGCUGAAAUGGCACAUAGAAGAUUUGCAUGGCCUCUGUGUAAUGAUGACAUGUGAAUCAUUCUAUAUUUUU